Cricetulus griseus (Chinese hamster) is the source of this 259-nucleotide unclassified non-coding RNA. Its record names the gene 7SK. It matches the Rfam family "7SK RNA". Rfam says of the family: 7SK was discovered as an abundant small nuclear RNA in the mid-70s but a possible function has only recently been suggested. Two independent studies have found that 7SK RNA binds the CDK9/cyclin T complex (known as elongation factor P-TEFb). The record is from Ensembl. Lineage: Eukaryota; Metazoa; Chordata; Mammalia; Rodentia; Cricetidae.
GCUUUCUGGCUGUGAUAUGUGUCAUUCCAUGGAUCAGCAGAGGUCAUUUGGUUGAUCUGGAUGGAUAAGUUCCUGUAGCCUUUCUCUCUCGUUGCUCCAUGUGUAUCUCUCUUGAAUCUGACUAAUUGGUCAAACAGGACCUUCCUUGACAGAGAAGGAUCAUUCUUCAGUCAGGUGCAUAGUAGUAGCUGCAUACCCUUGCUAGACCUACCAAAUUAGAUCAUAUCACACCUGUUCGCAGAGUUCCCUGGUGGCUAUC